RNAcentral lists this transfer RNA (93 nucleotides) under Ottowia sp. RNAcentral's name for it is "tRNA-Ser". It matches the Rfam family "tRNA". Rfam says of the family: Transfer RNA (tRNA) molecules are approximately 80 nucleotides in length. Their secondary structure includes four short double-helical elements and three loops (D, anti-codon, and T loops). The record is from RNAcentral. Lineage: Bacteria; Pseudomonadati; Pseudomonadota; Betaproteobacteria; Burkholderiales; Comamonadaceae.
GGAGACAUGACCGAGUGGCCGAAGGUGCUCCCCUGCUAAGGGAGUAUGGGGGGUAGAGCUCCAUCGAGGGUUCGAAUCCCUCUGUCUCCGCCA